RNAcentral lists this transfer RNA (83 nucleotides) under Pristimantis verrucolatus. RNAcentral describes it as "tRNA-Leu". The stretch from base 11 to 83 matches the Rfam family "tRNA". From Rfam's summary of the family: Transfer RNA (tRNA) molecules are approximately 80 nucleotides in length. The record is from RNAcentral. Lineage: Eukaryota; Metazoa; Chordata; Amphibia; Anura; Strabomantidae.
AAAAAGAACAGUUAAUGUAGCAAAUUCAGGCUUUGCAGAAGAUCUAAGCCCUUCUUACAGAGGUUCAAAUCCUCUCUCUAACU